This 1757-nucleotide long non-coding RNA is filed under the name Capra hircus (goat). RNAcentral describes it as "lncRNA (ENSCHIG00010012604.1)". Lineage: Eukaryota; Metazoa; Chordata; Mammalia; Artiodactyla; Bovidae. The record is from RNAcentral.
CAGCCUACCAGGCUCCUCCAUCCACGGGAUUUUCCAGGCAAGAGUGCUGGUGUGGGGUGCCAUUGCCUUCUCCAUUAGAGUAUCAUACCUUUAGAUUAAAAAAGAAGUUGCAGAAUAUAUGAUAACAUUUGUUUUGAUGAAAGUUUACAGCAACAUUGUGACCUGACCCUAAUCUGACCUAACAGACAGCUACAAGAACAAAGGAUUCAAUACCAAGAAGGUUACCACAACUAACCACACUCCUGUCUCACCUUUCCUAUAAAAGGGCUUUACUGAAAGCCUUUGAGGAGUUGGGGGACUCAAGGCAUGAGCCACCUGUCUUCUUCAUGGCCCUGCAAUAAACCUUUCUCUGACCCAGACUCCAAGGUUUCUGUACAGUUUGGCCUCACUGUGCAUUGAACCCAUGGGCCUGCACUUGGUAACACUAUGGCAACUUUAAGGGCCAGCCUUCCACUGCCCUCCAGGUCCGACCACUGAGGGCUGGGAGGCAACACUGGGAGUCAGCUUGUUGGGACAGGGAAGCCAGGAAGAGGGGCUACACUAGGGGUCAGGCAUUUGAGCAUUGCCCCCAACUCAUCUCUAGUUUCUCCAGACAUGGGAGGUCAGGGGGAAUCAAUGCAGAUUUAGACAAAUAGCCAGGACUGGAAUAACCCUUAAAGCCAGAGCAGAACCAGGUUCUCCCUCCUGCCACUUGUGGCUGAGUUCUAAGCUAAUCUCUGUACCAGAGCUGCGGUACACCCAGCAGGGCCGAGAGCCAUUGUCGGCUUUCGCCAAGCACUCCCAUCUCCCGCAGCCACAAGCAGUGAAUAACGAGUGGUAUUUAGAAACUGCAGCAAUUCGUAACUUUUAUUCAGCGAUUUGUGUAAACAUGUAGGGUCUGUAUCGGGCACAGGCAGACAUGGUUUGCACUGCAGAAUGGCUUUCUAAGUGGGCCAGCAACAGGGAAGCUGGCCUGAUGGUCUGCCUGAAGUCACCCAUGAUCAUUUUAUGCUCAAGGACAACAGGGUGUUAGGGUCAAGACAGCAUCCAAGGUAGGUCUCUGGAGUUCUCCAUGGCCAGGCCCCAGCUCCUGUGAUCCCUCUUACCACCCCCUUCCACNNNNNNNNNNNNNNGGAGCCAAGUGGUUAGGAACAUGGCCUUUGGAGCCAAACAAACCUAGUUUCAAUCCUGGUUCCACCACCCUCUCCCCCAGUGGCCUUGAGUGAGUCAUAGCAAUUGCUGGGGCCUCGAUUUCUUUUCUGUAAAGCAGAGCAAAUAAAAAAAAGCCUACUUCCUGGGGUGGAGACCUCAGAGAAAUAACCCAUAUAUUGGCAUGGAACAUGUUCAGUAAACAGCCCUUAAACUUUCCACCAAUUUUGACUCCUUGGUAGGUACUGCCCUCUCUUCACCCUUUUCCCCCCAGAAGCAACACCUGGGCCUUGGUGCCAAGACACCACCACCCACUGGCACCUGCAAACGCCAGCUGGCACAGACUCUCAGGAAACAGCAGCAGUGGCGUAUGCCCCAUAAGUCGUUAGGACUCACUUGUGCUUUUUAAAUACACAGAGUCUAAACAUUUUUUUAAUCUACUGUUAUACCUUCAGCUCCUAAGACAAUACCUGACACUUAGUAGGCACACAACAAAUAUGUGUUGACUAAUGGGUGUAUUCGUCCACUCACUCAUUCUUGAAUUAUUGGUACUGACUACGCUUCAGACGGGGGCUUCCCAGGCGGAACUGGUGGUAAAGAACCCGCCUGCCAAUGCAGGAGACCUAAGA